CAAUUUAAAUUUUAUAAAAUAAAAAUUUCAUUUACAUUGAAAAUAAAUUUGUGCAAGUCAAAUUAAAUUGA
RNAcentral lists this transfer RNA (71 nucleotides) under Phytosciara flavipes. RNAcentral describes it as "tRNA-Val". The record is from RNAcentral. Lineage: Eukaryota; Metazoa; Arthropoda; Insecta; Diptera; Sciaridae.